Molecule: ribosomal RNA, 253 nt
Filed under: uncultured bacterium
Lineage: Bacteria
Description: partial 16S ribosomal RNA
Rfam family: Bacterial small subunit ribosomal RNA
Source: RNAcentral
UACGAAGGGGGCUAGCGUUGCUCGGAAUCACUGGGCGUAAAGGGUGCGUAGGCGGGGCUUUAAGUCAGGGGUGAAAUCCGGCAGCUCAACUGUCGAAGUGCCCUUGAUACUGAUGAGCUCGAGGGAGGUAGGGGUAUGUGGAACUUCCGGUGGAGCGGUGAAAUGCGUUGAUAUCGGAAGGAACGCCGGUGGCGAAAGCGACGUACUGGACCUCUUCUGACGCUGAGGCGCGAAAGCUAGGGGAGCAAACGGG